This 499-nucleotide ribosomal RNA is filed under the name uncultured bacterium. RNAcentral describes it as "bacterial SSU rRNA". It matches the Rfam family "Bacterial small subunit ribosomal RNA", at positions 8 to 507 of the family's 1533-position model. The record is from RNAcentral.
AGAGUUUGAUCCUGGCUCAGGAUUAACGCUGGCGGUAUGCCUAACACAUGCAAGUCGAACGGAAUACUAAUUAAGAGAAUCUCACACUAGUGAGAGGUUCUCACGAGUAGUAUUAGUGGCGACGGGUGAGUAACACGUUGGAACCUGCCCCGAAGUGGGGAAUAACUGCUCGAAAGAGUAGCUAAUACCCCAUAGUAUCCGGUUUAUCCGGAUUAAAGAUUUAUCGCUUCGGGAGGGGCCUGCGUCUGAUUAGCUUGUUGGUGAGGUAAAAAGCUCACCAAGGCGACGAUCAGUAGCUGGUUCGAGAGGAUGACCAGCCACACUGGGACUGAGAUACGGCCCAGACUCCUACGGGAGGCAGCAGUGAGGAAUCUUCCACAAUGGACGAAAGUCUGAUGGAGCAAUACCGCGUGCAGGAAGACGCUUUUCGGAGUGUAAACUGCUUUUGUCGUCGAAGAUUAUGACUGUAGACGAAGAAUAAGGACCGGCUAACUACGUG